RNAcentral lists this ribosomal RNA (438 nucleotides) under uncultured bacterium. Its description in RNAcentral is "bacterial SSU rRNA". It matches the Rfam family "Bacterial small subunit ribosomal RNA", at positions 29 to 507 of the family's 1533-position model. The record is from RNAcentral.
AACGAACGCUGGCGGCAGGCUUAACACAUGCAAGUCGAACGCUCGUAGCAAUACGGGAGUGGCGGACGGGUGAGUAACGCGUGGGAACGUGCCCUGAGGUACGGAAUAACUGCGGGAAACUGCAGCUAAUACCGUAUGAGCCCCUAACGGGGGAAAGAUUUAUCGCCUUGGGAGCGGCCCGCGUCGGAUUAGCUAGUUGGUGGGGUAACGGGCCUACCAAGGCUUCGAUCCGUAGCUGGUCUGAGAGGACGAUCAGCCACACUGGGACUGAGACACGGCCCAGACUCCUACGGGAGGCAGCAGUGGGGAAUCUUGCGCAAUGGGGGCAACCCUGACGCAGCCAUGCCGCGUGAAUGAUGAAGGCCUUAGGGUUGUAAAGUUCUUUUGCCCGUGACGAUGAUGACGGUAACGGGAGAAUAAGCUCCGGCUAACUUCGUG